CUCCGGGGAAACGCCACAGGCAGAUUCCCGGCGUAAAAGGCGGAAAGCCGAAAAGGGAAGGCGAUGUGAAUUCGCUACGGUCCCGCCGCUGUGACCGGGGACUUUUGCCGCAGGGCAGGCCUUUUAUAAAGGCCAACAGUCAGCCACUGUCCUUAAUCGGACGGGAAGGCGCGGCUCAAAAGGUAUGAUCCGGGAGUCAGAAUACCUGCCCGUUCUCAAAAAAUAGG
RNAcentral lists this non-coding RNA (227 nucleotides) under Dethiosulfatarculus sandiegensis. Lineage: Bacteria; Pseudomonadati; Thermodesulfobacteriota; Desulfarculia; Desulfarculales; Desulfarculaceae. The record is from RNAcentral.